Molecule: unclassified non-coding RNA, 1176 nt
Filed under: Hevea brasiliensis (rubber tree)
Lineage: Eukaryota; Viridiplantae; Streptophyta; Magnoliopsida; Malpighiales; Euphorbiaceae
Source: RNAcentral
GGAAUGAGGAGGAUUCAUCUAUACAUCGCCAUUGCUUAUGUUGUAAUAUUUCAAACUAGUUGUUCAGCUCAUUUCUUUCCAAAUAUUUCAUCAAUCCCUUCUUCAUUACUCAAACCUAAUGCCACUGCUUGGACUUCUUUUCAAAAGUUGUUAGGAUGUCAACCUGGUCAGAAAGUCGAUGGCAUUGCUAAAAUCAAAAAAUAUUUUCAACAUUUUGGUUACAUUAAUAAUUUGACUAGUUUUAAUUUCACUGAUGAAUUUGAUGAUACUCUUGAAUCUGCUCUCAAGACGUAUCAGAGAAAUUUCAACCUCAAAGCCACCGGUGUGCUCGAUGCGCCCACCAUUCAGCAUCUCAUAAAACCCAGAUGUGGAAAUGCCGAUCUAGUUAACGGUACUAGUACUAUGAACGCUGGAAAGCCGCACACGGUGGCUCACUACUCCUUCUUUCCUGGAAGACCAAAGUGGCCCGAGGGUAAGACUGAUUUGACUUAUGCCUUUCUACCGGCAAACAAUUUGACGGAUGAUAUUAAGAGUGUCUUCUCACGUGCGUUUGAUCGGUGGUCGGAGGUAACCCCGUUGAGCUUCACGGAAAUACCGUCAUUUCAAUCGGCUGAUAUCAAGAUCGGAUUUUUAACCGGAGAUCACAAUGAUGGAGAGCCGUUUGAUGGUCCGAUGGGGACAUUAGCGCACGCGUUUUCACCGCCGGCGGGGCAUUUUCACUUGGACGGCGAGGAAAAUUGGGUCGUCGACGGUGUGCCGGUAAAUGAAGGGAACUUUUUUUCUAUAUUGUCGGCUGUGGAUCUCGAAUCGGUUGCGGUUCAUGAAAUCGGGCAUUUAUUGGGUUUGGGUCAUUCAUCGGUAGAAGAUUCGAUUAUGUAUCCGAGUUUAGAAUCGGGUAUUCGAAGAGUGGAGCUGGUGGAGGAUGAUAUUAAGGGGGUUCAGGAAUUAUACGGGUCAAACCCGAAUUAUACUGGGACCAAUACAACAUUGACUCCGAGCGGCCUGGAUAAUGAUACGAAUGGAGCCCCGAUUCGUAGCUCAGUAUGGAUUCAUGGGUUUUUAUUGGUGGUUGGAUUUUUCAUUUAUUCAAUUUAAUAAAUAACAGCUGUACUUUUUGUUCCCUUUAUAUGAGAUUGUAUGGUAUCAUUGUGGGUAUGGAUAGAUAUUUAUUUCGGG